This 1310-nucleotide ribosomal RNA is filed under the name Lacticaseibacillus rhamnosus. RNAcentral's name for it is "bacterial SSU rRNA". It matches the Rfam family "Bacterial small subunit ribosomal RNA", at positions 50 to 1351 of the family's 1533-position model. Lineage: Bacteria; Bacillati; Bacillota; Bacilli; Lactobacillales; Lactobacillaceae. The record is from RNAcentral.
AUUAUUGAAAGGUGCUUGCAUCUUGAUUUAAUUUUGAACGAGUGGCGGACGGGUGAGUAACACGUGGGUAACCUGCCCUUAAGUGGGGGAUAACAUUUGGAAACAGAUGCUAAUACCGCAUAAAUCCAAGAACCGCAUGGUUCUUGGCUGAAAGAUGGCGUAAGCUAUCGCUUUUGGAUGGACCCGCGGCGUAUUAGCUAGUUGGUGAGGUAACGGCUCACCAAGGCAAUGAUACGUAGCCGAACUGAGAGGUUGAUCGGCCACAUUGGGACUGAGACACGGCCCAAACUCCUACGGGAGGCAGCAGUAGGGAAUCUUCCACAAUGGACGCAAGUCUGAUGGAGCAACGCCGCGUGAGUGAAGAAGGCUUUCGGGUCGUAAAACUCUGUUGUUGGAGAAGAAUGGUCGGCAGAGUAACUGUUGUCGGCGUGACGGUAUCCAACCAGAAAGCCACGGCUAACUACGUGCCAGCAGCCGCGGUAAUACGUAGGUGGCAAGCGUUAUCCGGAUUUAUUGGGCGUAAAGCGAGCGCAGGCGGUUUUUUAAGUCUGAUGUGAAAGCCCUCGGCUUAACCGAGGAAGUGCAUCGGAAACUGGGAAACUUGAGUGCAGAAGAGGACAGUGGAACUCCAUGUGUAGCGGUGAAAUGCGUAGAUAUAUGGAAGAACACCAGUGGCGAAGGCGGCUGUCUGGUCUGUAACUGACGCUGAGGCUCGAAAGCAUGGGUAGCGAACAGGAUUAGAUACCCUGGUAGUCCAUGCCGUAAACGAUGAAUGCUAGGUGUUGGAGGGUUUCCGCCCUUCAGUGCCGCAGCUAACGCAUUAAGCAUUCCGCCUGGGGAGUACGACCGCAAGGUUGAAACUCAAAGGAAUUGACGGGGGCCCGCACAAGCGGUGGAGCAUGUGGUUUAAUUCGAAGCAACGCGAAGAACCUUACCAGGUCUUGACAUCUUUUGAUCACCUGAGAGAUCAGGUUUCCCCUUCGGGGGCAAAAUGACAGGUGGUGCAUGGUUGUCGUCAGCUCGUGUCGUGAGAUGUUGGGUUAAGUCCCGCAACGAGCGCAACCCUUAUGACUAGUUGCCAGCAUUUAGUUGGGCACUCUAGUAAGACUGCCGGUGACAAACCGGAGGAAGGUGGGGAUGACGUCAAAUCAUCAUGCCCCUUAUGACCUGGGCUACACACGUGCUACAAUGGAUGGUACAACGAGUUGCGAGACCGCGAGGUCAAGCUAAUCUCUUAAAGCCAUUCUCAGUUCGGACUGUAGGCUGCAACUCGCCUACACGAAGUCGGAAUCGCUAGUAAUCGCGGAUCA